GUGCCAGCCGCCGCGGUAAUACCGGCAGCCCGAGUGAUGACCGAUCUUAUUGGGCCUAAAGCGUCCGUAGCUGGCUGCGCAAGUCCGUCGGGAAAUCCGCCCGCUCAACGGGCGGCCGUCCGGCGGAACCUGUGUGGCUUGGGACCGGAAGGCUCGAAGGGUACGUUCGGGGUAGGAGUGAAAUCCUAUAAUCCCGCACGGACCACCGAUGGCGAAAGCACUUCGAGAAAACGGAUCCGACAGUGAGGGACGAAAGCCAGGGUCUCCAACCGGAUUAGAAACCCGAGUAGUCC
This 293-nucleotide ribosomal RNA is filed under the name uncultured bacterium. RNAcentral describes it as "partial 16S ribosomal RNA". It matches the Rfam family "Archaeal small subunit ribosomal RNA", at positions 455 to 747 of the family's 1478-position model. The record is from RNAcentral.